GUCCUCCAGAGUCAUAUGUCUCUUGUGUUCUGACAGUGUGGCCAGUCCCUCGGAGUGACUUCUGAACCCAGAUCGUUCCAUCAGAGCCCCAAAAGCCUCAGGGCCCCGUUCUGGUAUGAGGUGGCAGAACAGUGGGGAGAACCCUGGGGAGAACUGUGAAGGGGAACAUCUCAGGUUCUUCUGGCUCUUCUUCUCAGCGGAAAGUACCUCGGAGGUGGAUCGAAACCAGCCUCCACUGAAAAGCACUUGACACAGCUUUGUGUAGGGAAACCAGAGCUGUCAAGACAUGCUGAGCAAAGUCUAGUCCUCACUCAAGACCAUCCUGAGGUGUGGCACUCUGGGUGUGUGCAUGUCAUAAUUUGUGACUCACAUUUGUGUUCUGUGUGUUGUUUAUUAACUAUGAUCCUCCUGUGAGUGAGCGGUGACAGGCCUUAUGAAUAUGGAUAUUGCUUAUAUAUUUUGAUAGUGACUUUAAAUUGCAUGUAAGAGUGUGGGUGUGUGUGGUUGUCAGCCAUGUGACAGACUGUCGACCUGUCCAGGAUAAGCGGUACUGUAUAAAUAAUGGAUGGAUAUAUUUUGAUGUUUGUCUGCAUCUUAAUCCUCAGCUUAACUGAUUGAUACAAAGUCAAUACAAGAUUAAUAAGCACACAAAGUAUCAAACAUUCCCUCUUUAUUAUUUUCCGUAUCGUUCUCUCCUUCAGUUUUCUGUUCCACUGUCCCUCUUUCUGCCUCUAAACAUAAACAUGGUCACUACAUUGUAAAAAUUUGUCUGGAAAUGUAACCUCAGCAAAAAAGAAACUGUUUAUUGUAUAAAAAUACUAACUAUCAAAAAUACUCGAUUCAUACUACAGCAGGAAAACAGAUGGGUUGUUUCCAAAAUGUAUCAGUGUCAUUAAAACCUUAUAGAAUAAUAUAUAUACCAUACAGUGAUUAAUGAUUUUUUUUAAAUCUGGCAUUGCGAACAAAUUAAUGCCUGAAGGGAAACAUGCAGGUAGAGUUCCUUCAAGUGUGAACCUGCCUGAAUCGGUCCUUAUCUUCACUUAAAACUCCUACAAAAUAAUACAGCUAUAGUAGCUGAAACACUAAGUUAGAUGAUUAAAACAUUCAUUUGUGGACUAGUACUGAUCCAAGAUCAAUAAUCACAUUUUUUUUUGUUCAUUCAACACUCAGAAACGUUGUUUUCCCAAAACUGUUUCAUGCAAUAUAAGAAAAUAAUUCUGUCUUGUUUGGUCUAAAUAGAAAAUUGACUGAUGACUGACUGACAGCAGUAAAACCAGACUGACUGGUCCCACAGGACAUUUAUGGAUCCAAUAACAGAACAGUGAAGAAGCUAAGGCACAUCAUGGUUUCAGUGUCUUAUCAAACCAGCAGAUGGUUAACCAAAGGAGCAUUAUCAGAAGGCUUGUAGAAAAUACAUGAUUGGUCAUCUGUUUGAGACUGAAAAACAUCUUUUAAUCUUCCACUCUCUAAAGGUACCUUCUUUGAGGCAACAAGACUUGGAAUACACAGAAUUAUAUUGCUCCCUUUAAACCAAAAAUCUGACAUAUCAUUAUUACACAUGGCAGUUUGGACUGUUUGGAAGAUUGUUGCUAUAUUCUAAUUAUUUAUCACACUUAGUGAAAAUUCAUCUAAAUUUAUUUCCAGUUCACAGUGACAGAGAAGCAACAACUGCAGCUAAAUCAGAAAAAUAAAGCAGCUCUAUUUUUAACCUCCCCUGUAUCGUAUUAACUAUCACACUGCUGUGUCAAAUCAUGAAGUGUUAUUAGUAGUGUUCAAAACAGAUACAGACAGCACAGCAAACGCCCCAAGUUAAACCCAUUUAGUAAAAAGUAAAAAAUAUCAAAAUUCUGGAGACAAACAGCAGAGAAUCAGCAUCAAA
Long non-coding RNA from Monopterus albus (swamp eel), 1879 nucleotides. RefSeq lists it as uncharacterized. Lineage: Eukaryota; Metazoa; Chordata; Actinopteri; Synbranchiformes; Synbranchidae. The transcript has 2 exons. The record is from RefSeq and is a predicted model, not a curated record.